GUGGGGAAUUUUGGACAAUGGGCGAAAGCCUGAUCCAGCAAUGCCGUGUGUGUGAAGAAGGUCUUCGGAUUGUAAAGCACUUUAAGUUGGGAGGAAGGGCAGUAAGUUAAUACCUUGCUGUUUUGACGUUACCGACAGAAUAAGCACCGGCUAACUUCGUGCCAGCAGCCGCGGUAAUACGAAGGGUGCAAGCGUUAAUCGGAAUUACUGGGCGUAAAGCGCGCGAAGGUGGUUUUGUAAGUUGGAGGUGAAAUCCCCGGGCUCAACCUGGGAACUGCCUCCAAAACUGCAUGACUAGAGUACGGUAGAGGGUAGUGGAAUUUCCUGUGUAGCGGUGAAAUGCGUAGAUAUAGGAAGGAACACCAGUGGCGAAGGCGACUACCUGGACUGAUACUGACACUGAGGUGCGAAAGCGUGGGGAGCAAACAGGAUUAGAUACCCUUGUAGUCC
Molecule: ribosomal RNA, 450 nt
Filed under: uncultured bacterium
Lineage: Bacteria
Description: partial 16S ribosomal RNA
Rfam family: Bacterial small subunit ribosomal RNA
Source: RNAcentral